ACACCUGGUCCCAUCCCGAACCCAGCAGUUAAGCCCCUCAGCGCCGAUGGUACUGCAGCCUCAGGCCGUGGGAGAGUAGGUCACCGCCGGCC
Molecule: ribosomal RNA, 92 nt
Filed under: Candidatus Benthicola marisminoris
Lineage: Bacteria; Pseudomonadati; Gemmatimonadota; Gemmatimonadia; Candidatus Palauibacterales; Candidatus Palauibacteraceae
Source: RNAcentral